AUUGAUCCUGAGUUUUCGUGGUGCAAGCAAACUUAUUGCAGGUAGCCAGAGAAAGUUCUACACAAAUGGAAACAAGACUCGAGGAAAUCAACAAACAUCUAAGUCCUAAUAGCUGCUAACGGCCUAGGUUAUGAUUCAAUAAACAACCAAGAAUUAACAAAGGUGAAAUUUUCCAUCUUUUUUUUAAAUGGCAUGUUUC
RNAcentral lists this long non-coding RNA (199 nucleotides) under Gossypium barbadense (sea-island cotton). Its description in RNAcentral is "long non-coding RNA (GBAR_LNC008474)". Lineage: Eukaryota; Viridiplantae; Streptophyta; Magnoliopsida; Malvales; Malvaceae. The record is from RNAcentral.